GACGAACGAUGGCGGCGUGCUUAACACAUGCAAGUCGAACGGAAAGGCCCUGCUUUUGUGGGGUGCUCGAGUGGCGAACGGGUGAGUAACACGUGAGUAACCUGCCCUUGACUUUGGGAUAACUUCAGGAAACUGGGGCUAAUACCGGAUAGGAGCUCCUGCUGCAUGGUGGGGGUUGGAAAGUUUCGGCGGUUGGGGACGGACUCGCGGCUUAUCAGCUUGUUGGUGGGGUAGUGGCUUACCAAGGCUUUGACGGGUAGCCGGCCUGAGAGGGUGACCGGCCACAUUGGGACUGAGAUACGGCCCAGACUCCUACGGGAGGCAGCAGUGGGGAAUAUUGCACAAUGGGCGGAAGCCUGAUGCAGCAACGCCGCGUGCGGGAUGACGGCCUUCGGGUUGUAAACCGCUUUCGCCUGUGACGAAGCGUGAGUGACGGUAAUGGGUAAAGAAGCACCGGCUAACUACGUGCCAGCAGCCGCGGUGAUACGUAGGGUGCGAGCGUUGUCCGGAUUUAUUGGGCGUAAAGGGCUCGUAGGUGGUUGAUCGCGUCGGAAGUGUAAUCUUGGGGCUUAACCCUGAGCGUGCUUUCGAUACGGGUUGACUUGAGGAAGGUAGGGGAGAAUGGAAUUCCUGGUGGAGCGGUGGAAUGCGCAGAUAUCAGGAGGAACACCAGUGGCGAAGGCGGUUCUCUGGGCCUUUCCUGACGCUGAGGAGCGAAGGCGUGGGGAGCGAACAGGCUUAGAUACCCUGGUAGUCCACGCUGUAAACGGUGGGUACUAGGUGUGGGGUCCAUUCCACGGGUUCCGUGCCGUAGCUAACGCUUUAAGUACCCCGCCUGGGGAGUACGGCCGCAAGGCUAAAACUCAAAGGAAUUGACGGGGCCCCGCACAAGCGGCGGAGCAUGCGGAUUAAUUCGAUGCAACGCGUAGAACCUUACCUGGGUUUGACAUGGAUCGGGAGUGCUCAGAGAUGGGUGUGCCUCUUUUGGGGUCGGUUCACAGGUGGUGCAUGCCUGUCGUCAGCUCGUGUCGUGAGAUGUUGGGUUAAGUCCCGCAACGAGCGCAACCCUUGUUCACUGUUGCCAGCACGUUAUGGUGGGGACUCAGUGGAGACCGCCGGGGUCAACUCGGAGGAAGGUGGGGAUGACGUCAAGUCCUCAUGCCCCUUAUGUCCAGGGCUUCACGCAUGCUACAAUGGCUGGUACAGAGAGUGGCGAGCCUGUGAGGGUGAGCGAAUCUCGGAAAGCCGGUCUCAGUUCGGAUUGGGGUCUGCAACUCGACCCCAUGAAGUCGGAGUCGCUAGUAAUCGCAAAUCAGCAACGCUGCGGUGAAUACGUUCCCGGG
RNAcentral lists this ribosomal RNA (1343 nucleotides) under uncultured bacterium. Its description in RNAcentral is "16S ribosomal RNA". It matches the Rfam family "Bacterial small subunit ribosomal RNA", at positions 28 to 1378 of the family's 1533-position model. The record is from RNAcentral.